GUCAAAGCCCAGGUUGCACGUGAAUGAAUAGAGGUGCAGACAUAAGAUUCUUGUUAUUUUCUGACUCUAUUGAUGCCCCUGUCACCUGCCUCUCCCCUUUGGCUGGCUAGGAAUCAGCUGUAUCACUGCUCCUACAUGGACCAAGACCUAGUUGCCAAUGACCUUAAAAGAAGUUGAAGGCUCUGGGAAUUUUUAUUAGAAAGUGAAGUCAUUAAAGAAGCAGACACCAGGCUCAGGCCCUGAGAUAAUUGCAAAUAGAAACGCAUCUGUCUACAGUGCUCAGCUGGACCUGACAUGAGCUGUACCGGCAGACUACAUCCACAUCACCUUCGCCUUUGAAAAGCUCCAUGUCCCCAUGCCUGCCAUCAACUACUCGAACUCUGUCGAAUAAUCUGUCCCUAGAUCAAAU
Molecule: long non-coding RNA, 409 nt
Organism: Alexandromys fortis (reed vole)
Lineage: Eukaryota; Metazoa; Chordata; Mammalia; Rodentia; Cricetidae
Exons: 3
Source: RefSeq, a predicted model, not a curated record